CCUACGGGGGACAGCAGUGGGGAAUAUUGGGCAAUGGGCGCAAGUCUGACCCAGCAACGCCGCGUGAAGGAAGAAGGCCUUCGGGUUGUAAACUUCUUUUCUCAGGGACGAAGCAAGUGACGGUACCUGAGGAAUAAGCCACGGCUAACUACGUGCCAGCAGCCGCGGUAAUACGUAGGGGGCAAGCGUUAUCCGGAUUUACUGGGUGUAAAGGGUGUGUAGGCGGGGAGGCAAGUCAGAUGUGAAAACCACGGGCUCAACCUGUGGACUGCAUUUGAAACUGUGUUUCUUGAGUACUGGAGAGGCAGACGGAAUUCCUAGUGUAGCGGUGAAAUGCGUAGAUAUUAGGAGGAACACCAGUGGCGAAGGCGGUCUGCUGGACAGCAACUGACGCUGAGGCGCGAAAGCGUGGGGAGCAAACAGGAUUAGAUACCCUGGUAGUC
RNAcentral lists this ribosomal RNA (443 nucleotides) under uncultured bacterium. RNAcentral's name for it is "partial 16S ribosomal RNA". It matches the Rfam family "Bacterial small subunit ribosomal RNA", at positions 338 to 795 of the family's 1533-position model. The record is from RNAcentral.